RNAcentral lists this ribosomal RNA (257 nucleotides) under uncultured bacterium. Its description in RNAcentral is "partial 16S ribosomal RNA". It matches the Rfam family "Bacterial small subunit ribosomal RNA", at positions 29 to 289 of the family's 1533-position model. The record is from RNAcentral.
ACGAACGCUGGCGGCGUGCUUAACACAUGCAAGUCGAACGGUAAGGCCCUUUCGGGGGUACACGAGUGGCGAACGGGUGAGUAACACGUGGGUAAUCUGCCCUGCACUUCGGGAUAAGCCUGGGAAACCGGGUCUAAUACCGGAUAUGAGCUCCUGCCGCAUGGUGGGGGUUGGAAAGUUUUUCGGUGCAGGAUGAGUCCGCGGCCUAUCAGCUUGUUGGUGGGGUAAUGGCCUACCGAGGCGACGACGGGUAGCCG